RNAcentral lists this ribosomal RNA (567 nucleotides) under uncultured soil bacterium. Its description in RNAcentral is "bacterial SSU rRNA". It matches the Rfam family "Bacterial small subunit ribosomal RNA", at positions 55 to 617 of the family's 1533-position model. The record is from RNAcentral.
AUGCAAGUCGAACGGCAGCACGGGGGCAACCCUGGUGGCGAGUGGCGAACGGGUGAGUAAUACAUCGGAACGUGUCCUGGAGUGGGGGAUAGCCCGGCGAAAGCCGGAUUAAUACCGCAUACGAUCUCUGGAUGAAAGCGGGGGACCGAAAGGCCUCGCGCUCAAGGGGCGGCCGAUGGCAGAUUAGCUAGUUGGUGGGGUAAAGGCCUACCAAGGCGACGAUCUGUAGCUGGUCUGAGAGGACGACCAGCCACACUGGGACUGAGACACGGCCCAGACUCCUACGGGAGGCAGCAGUGGGGAAUUUUGGACAAUGGGGGCAACCCUGAUCCAGCAAUGCCGCGUGUGUGAAGAAGGCCUUCGGGUUGUAAAGCACUUUUGUCCGGAAAGAAAACCUCCGUCCUAAUACGGUGGGGGGAUGACGGUACCGGAAGAAUAAGCACCGGCUAACUACGUGCCAGCAGCCGCGGUAAUACGUAGGGUGCAAGCGUUAAUCGGAAUUACUGGGCGUAAAGCGUGCGCAGGCGGUUCGCUAAGACCGAUGUGAAAUCCCCGGGCUUAACCUGG